CUGGAAACAAGAUCUGUAGAGCCGGAGGCUUUAGUGUCUCUGCACAAGUGCACGUUUUGUUACCGAGGCGACAAGAGCCGCCUUGUUAAUUCUUUCCUCUGUGACGGGGGCUGAUUACUAAUACAUGCAGCCGGUCACUGCAGGUCGCUGGAGAUGAUGAACGUCUUGGAGGGGCCGUGUGUGUGUGUGUGUGUGUGUGUGUGUGUGUGUGUGUGUGUGUGUGUGUGUGUGUGGACUCAUGCUUGGCUGUUUUUAUAGCAG
Molecule: long non-coding RNA, 261 nt
Organism: Gasterosteus aculeatus aculeatus (three-spined stickleback)
Lineage: Eukaryota; Metazoa; Chordata; Actinopteri; Perciformes; Gasterosteidae
Source: Ensembl